UACGAAGGGGGCUAGCGUUGUUCGGAAUCACUGGGCGUAAAGCGCACGCAGGCGGAUCGAUAAGUCGAGGGUGAAAGCCCGGGGCUCAACCUCGGAAUUGCCUUCGAUACUGUCGGUCUCGAGUCCGGGAGAGGUGAGUGGAAUUCCUAGUGUAGAGGUGAAAUUCGUAGAUAUUAGGAAGAACACCAGUGGCGAAGGCGGCUCACUGGCCCGGUAUUGACGAUCAGGUGCGAAAGCGUGGGGAGCAAACAGG
RNAcentral lists this ribosomal RNA (253 nucleotides) under uncultured bacterium. RNAcentral's name for it is "partial 16S ribosomal RNA". It matches the Rfam family "Bacterial small subunit ribosomal RNA", at positions 524 to 776 of the family's 1533-position model. The record is from RNAcentral.